This 460-nucleotide ribosomal RNA is filed under the name uncultured bacterium. RNAcentral describes it as "partial 16S ribosomal RNA". It matches the Rfam family "Bacterial small subunit ribosomal RNA", at positions 338 to 795 of the family's 1533-position model. The record is from RNAcentral.
CCUACGGGUGGCAGCAGUGAGGAAUAUUGGUCAAUGGACGAGAGUCUGAACCAGCCAAGUAGCGUGAAGGAUGACUGCCCUAUGGGUUGUAAACUUCUUUUAUAUGGGAAUAAAACGUUCCACGUGUGGGAUUUUGUAUGUACCAUAUGAAUAAGGAUCAGCUAAAUCCGUGCCAGCGGCCGCGGUAAUACGGAGGAUCCGAGAGUUAGCCGGAUUUAUUGGGUUUAAAGGGAGCGUAGGUGGAUUGUUAAGUCAGUUGUGAAAGUUUGCGGCUUAACCGUAAAAUUGCAUUUGAAACUGGCAGUCUUGAGUACAGUAGAGGUGGGCGGAAUUCGUGGUGUAGCGGUGAAAUGCUUAGAUAUCACGAAGAACUCCGAUUGCGAAGGCAGUUCACUGGACUGCAACUGACACUGAGGCUCGAAAGUGUGGGUAUCAAACAGGGUUAGAUACCCCGGUAGUA